AGUGAACGCUGGCGGUAGGCCUAACACAUGCAAGUCGAACGGCAGCACAGUAAGAGCUUGCUCUUACGGGUGGCGAGUGGCGGACGGGUGAGGAAUACAUCGGAAUCUACUUUUUCGUGGGGGAUAACGUAGGGAAACUUACGCUAAUACCGCAUACGACCUACGGGUGAAAGCAGGGGAUCUUCGGACCUUGCGCGAUUGAAUGAGCCGAUGUCGGAUUAGCUAGUUGGCGGGGUAAAGGCCCACCAAGGCGACGAUCCGUAGCUGGUCUGAGAGGAUGGUCAGCCACACUGGAACUGAGACACGGUCCAGACUCCUACGGGAGGCAGCAGUGGGGAAUAUUGGACAAUGGGCGCAAGCCUGAUCCAGCCAUACCGCGUGGGUGAAGGAGGCCUUCGGGUUUUAAAGCCCUUUUGUUGGGGAAGAAAAGCAGCAGGUUAAUACCCCGCUGUUCUGACGGUACCCAAAGAAUAAGCAACGGCUAACUUCGUG
Molecule: ribosomal RNA, 492 nt
Filed under: uncultured bacterium
Lineage: Bacteria
Description: partial 16S ribosomal RNA
Rfam family: Bacterial small subunit ribosomal RNA
Source: RNAcentral